Molecule: long non-coding RNA, 2664 nt
Filed under: Homo sapiens (human)
Lineage: Eukaryota; Metazoa; Chordata; Mammalia; Primates; Hominidae
Description: non-protein coding LINC01184:39
Source: RNAcentral
ACCCGCGGUCCCGCAGCGGCGCGCGGCUGACGCUCCCUCAGCGAUCCGGCCCUCCGCGGCUCCUGCGCGACCCCACGCAAAAGCGCCCCGUGCGAAGAGCGCGGCCAGCCAGUCCGCAAAGGGCCUCGGGCAGUGCGGGCAGCACGAACGGCGCGAUCGGGGAGCAGGCGCGGCUACGCUCCGCCUCAGUGAUGUCGCCGGGAGGAUCUCCGCGCGGCUACCUCCUCUUCCGCCGCCUUCCUCCCACGCCUUCACCUCCCUCCCCCGCCGCGCUCUGCGGCGAAAAGGAGCGGGCUCCCAGGCCACCUCCCCUCUCUCCACCCAGGGGCCGCGCGUCAGUGGACCUGCAGCCCAGGCAACGGGGCUGCGGACGGCGCGCGUGCCCUGCCUCGCCUCACGCCGGUAGCUGAUGCUCCCGCGGCAGCUGCCACCCCAGCGCCCCAGCCACGGCUUCAGAGGCUCUCGCACGCUGGCUUUUUUUUUUUCCCCCCGCUUUGGUGAACUCGCAGUACUUGGGCUGAGCCCGAAAUCUCGCGAGAUGCUGCAGGCGUCAGUGCGGCUUCCCACUAGGCGCGUGGUACCCGAGGCCGGGCCGGAGCCGCAGGCCAGCCGCGAUUCCUUCGGGCGAUGCUGGGGGCUUUCCGGUCGGGGCCGCAGCCGCUUCCGGAGCCGCGGGCGAGGUGCGUUCCCCAGCCUGGUUUGCUCUGGGCUCUGACCCGCCGCCGCGAAUCUCCGCUCGUAACUCCGGGCCUGAACCUGGAGGAGGGAGGAUUUCCUCUGUGCAGCUUUCGAGCGGUAGACUCACCCUGCCAGGCAGACCUAGAUUGGCAUAACCAGAGAUCAGUUCCAGUUGUGAUGCAGUGGGUGUCUACACACUUCUGAUGACACCUUUAUUUUAAAAGCUGAUGUUCCAAGAGUCGGGGUUUCACCGUGUUAGCCAGGAUGGUCUCGAUCUCCUGACCUCGUGAUCCGCCCACCUCCGCCUCUCCAAGUGCUGGGAUUACAGGCAUGAGCCACCGCGCCCGGCCCUUGUAUUUUUAAACUUUGACUUUAUGGAGACGAACACCAUCGUUUGCUGAACACUUGAAACAUGAUGAAAGAGCCACAGAGUUGGCAGAACUGUUUGAAAAUGCUGUGCAAGCGGUCUUCUCUGUCUUCUUUAUGGCCAGUAAAAUUCUCCAGAAGAGAUUUAUGGCAGCCUCACUCCCAGUAGUUUCUGCAUUUAGUGAGAUAAGAUGGAAUCUUGCUCUCUUGCUCAGACUGGAGUGCAGUGGCAUGACCUUGGCUCACUGCAACCUCACCUCUCGGGUUCAAGCGAUUCUGCCUCAGCCUCUCGAGUAGCUGGGACUACAGGUGGGAGACCUCCACAGAACCCUUCCAGCAAGCUGUCUUCUAAAGCAAACAAGAAAAGGAAAGUCUGAGCAGUUUUGAUUAGAUUUCCCAGAAGUCAAAGCAAGGAAAAAUGAAAAAGCUUCAUUUCUCACGUUCUUAAAAGAGAGCACAGAUGUUGCAUCAUCUGGUUAGAUACCCUGAGAAUAAAAUCUGGAUCCAGUGAGAGGAAAGAUUCUGGGUGCUCAUGAAAAAAGAAACAAAACAAAACUUGGGAGCCUCUUGAGAGUGUACAGCAUCAGCCCUUGCCAACUCUUGUUUAUAUGCAUUUAACUUUCAGUUAACCAUGGGAAUAAUUCAUGAAAAUCCAAUCUACAAACAAAGGCCAUCCUAACGUUCAUGUUAUUCUUUUCCCUAAGAAUCUUUCACAAGAGCUAUAAUCAAGUAGAAUUAUGCUUUGAUUUGAAUUCUAAUUCAAUUGAAAAUAAAAAAUGAGGGCCGGACGCGGUGGCUCAUGCCUGUAAUCCCAGCGCUUUGGGAGGCUGAGGUGGACGGAUCACGAGGUCAGGAGAUCGAGACCAUCCUGGCUAACACGGUGAAACCCGAUCCCUACUAAAAAUACAAAAAAUUAGCCGGGCGUGGUGGCAGGCGCCUGUAGUCCCAGCUACUCGGGAGGCUGAGGCAGGAGAAUGGCGUGAACCCAGGAGGCAGAGGUUGCAGUGAGCCGAGAUCAUGCUACUGCACUCCAGCCUGGGCGACAGAGCGAGACUCUGUGUAUAAAUAAAUAAAUAAAUAAAUAAAUAACGAAAAGGUUGCCAUUGCCCUUUCUGGGGAAAGUGAUAAUGAGGAAAGACUAGUUUCUUAACCCAAGUCAGCUUUAGAGUCGGCAAGGAUGCAAUUUGAGGUGAUCCAGGAAAACUCUAUUAGCAUGGUAUUUCCCAUACAGAUUCAUUUCUUUUAGGCCUGAAGUCUUUUUGGCACUUCUUAAUAAAAUCACAGAUACCUCUUGGACAUGAAAGCUUAUCCUUUAUCAAUUUCUAUCAGUUAACCACUCAGAUGAGGAUAAAGGCCUGAGUCAGAAAGGACAGAGAGAGGUUCCACAAAGAGAUAAAAGAUGAGUGGCCAUAAGGAGUCCUUGAAAACACACCUCUCUAGCCCAUCAAAAAAUGCAGCACCUUAAACUCAAGUCCAUCUUACUAGCCUUUAGCAGUACCCCACCACUCUCAAAAUUUCCAGCAUUAAAUGUCUCGGAGCUAUAUAAAAGGCAGACUUAGGUAUAAGUAGGAAGAGAUAUCAAGGGCUUGGGUAUCAUUUCAGCACUAAUGGAGCUUAUGG